This 634-nucleotide ribosomal RNA is filed under the name Vibrio alginolyticus. Its description in RNAcentral is "partial 23S ribosomal RNA". It matches the Rfam family "Bacterial large subunit ribosomal RNA", at positions 2297 to 2925 of the family's 2925-position model. The record is from RNAcentral. RNAcentral also lists the same sequence under 1 other name. Lineage: Bacteria; Pseudomonadati; Pseudomonadota; Gammaproteobacteria; Vibrionales; Vibrionaceae.
GUAACGGAGGAGCACGAAGGUGGGCUAAUCACGGUUGGACAUCGUGAGGUUAGUGCAAUGGCAUAAGCCCGCUUGACUGCGAGAAUGACAAUUCGAGCAGGUGCGAAAGCAGGUCAUAGUGAUCCGGUGGUUCUGAAUGGAAGGGCCAUCGCUCAACGGAUAAAAGGUACUCCGGGGAUAACAGGCUGAUACCGCCCAAGAGUUCAUAUCGACGGCGGUGUUUGGCACCUCGAUGUCGGCUCAUCACAUCCUGGGGCUGAAGUCGGUCCCAAGGGUAUGGCUGUUCGCCAUUUAAAGUGGUACGCGAGCUGGGUUUAGAACGUCGUGAGACAGUUCGGUCCCUAUCUGCCGUGGGCGUUGGAGAAUUGAAAGGGGCUGCUCCUAGUACGAGAGGACCGGAGUGGACGAACCUCUGGUGUUCGGGUUGUGUCGCCAGACGCAUUGCCCGGUAGCUAAGUUCGGGAUCGAUAACCGCUGAAAGCAUCUAAGCGGGAAGCGAGCCUUGAGAUGAGUUCUCCCUGAUACUUUAAGUAUCCUAAAGGGUUGUCGUAGACUACGACGUUGAUAGGCAGGGUGUGUAAGCGUUGUGAGGCGUUGAGCUAACCUGUACUAAUUGCCCGUGAGGCUUAACCAU